UAAAACUUACACUUGUCCUUCAGUACUCGUCGUACAAAGAGGGUGGAGAGACUUAUAAACCUUAGAGAAUCUGAAAAGAAAUUCUCUAAAAUCUCUCUGAUAUAAAGAUAGAAAAUUAAAGACAAUCUUCUCUUUGUGUUUUAUAACUUUCCUUCCCACUUUAUGUUUUUUUGGCCAAUUCAACAUUUUCUUGACCCCAUUUCAUCACUAUUUGCCAACAUACAUUUCACAAACAAAAAAAAAAGUUCAAAAACCUUUUUUAUUUAUGUCUUAAGGCGACGAGGAUUGAACCCGAAAUCGUUAUGGUUAUCAGGGUAUAUAACUUUGCAGUCACCAAAGAAUGUUCGGUUCCCGAGCGACCACCAAGGUUGCUGAGAGAAUAUAUGUAUAUAUGCAGCUUCAAGCAAUUAUAUUUUGGAGAGGGGACUAGAAUCAGAUAUUGUACUCUUAGGAACUUCCAAGUACAAGAAAUGUUGUGUUCAACUGCAAAUCCUCCACAAAUUAGCUUUGUCAAUUGCAAAUCUGCUACAAGUUAAAGCUUUGUCACAAGUGCUUUGCAUAUCUAUAUAUAGAUAUAUAGACUACUGAAGCUGCUCAUUGACCCUCUUGCUUGGUCCAUUUGGGUUAAAAUUGGAAGACAUAAGAGCAGAUUCCCAGCCAGUUCCAAGACCAAAUGUUGAACCAGAAAUUGAAACCAAAGGGUCUGAACUUGGAAUCAUAAUCCCAUUAAUGGUCUGUUGUUGUUGCUGUUGUUGUUGUUGUUGCUGCUGCUGCUGUUGUUGGGUAGUGAAAGCUUCUUCAUUGAUGAGUGAAUUGAGAAAUGAAGAGAAAACAUCAUCAGUGCAAUAAUUGAUAUCUUCAUCUUCUUCAUUGCUGACUCCUUGAAUGUUGUUUCUCAAAUCCAUCCCACAGUUAUUACCAUCAACAUCACAGCCACCACCACAAUUCAAUAAGCUUGUAUAUCCAUGGGUGGUGGCAUUAUUAUGAUAUUGAUCAAAAGAAGCGUUUUCAAAGGCUUGAUGAUGAUCUGCGAUUUGCUUUUGAUAAAGAAGCUUUGUUUUGCUGCUGUUGUUGUUGUUUUUGAUCAACAGAUUGAUUUUCGAGGCUUAGCGGCUUGUGAGUUCUUGGAUCGAUUCCUUGGCUUAUGAGCUUCUUGCUCAGGCGAUGGAGUCGAAGAAUGAGAUCUUCUUCAUCGGGAGCGAUCUGGCCACGUUUUACAGAUGGACGGAGGUAGUUCAUCCACCGAAGACGGCAGCUUUUGCCACAUCGGAGAAGUCCAGCUCUUUUGGGUAAGGUACGCCAUCGUCCUUCUCCUUCUUUCUUGAUGUAAUUUGCAAGAAGUUCAUCUUCUUCUGGUGUCCAUGGCCCUCUCUUUAACCCUAUCUUGCUGCAACAAGGUGUCUUUGUACUUGUCGCCGCUGCAGCAGCAGCUCCUCCGCCUGCAGAAGCCGAUGUUGAUGGGGGUCUCAUUUCUUCUUCUUUCUGGUUUUCUUCUUCUUCUUCCACUUCUUCUCCUUCUUGUUUUUGAUAUGAAAAAGAAAAGUGUAUGUAUCGAUUGAGUUUUACUGUUGGAAAUGAGAUUGGAUCUUUUUUGCGGGUAUUUUCCCUUUUUUUUUUUCUUUUUUUUAAUGGAUGAAGCAGUGAUGAUUGAUAAA
Molecule: non-coding RNA, 1655 nt
Organism: Jatropha curcas
Lineage: Eukaryota; Viridiplantae; Streptophyta; Magnoliopsida; Malpighiales; Euphorbiaceae
Source: RefSeq, a predicted model, not a curated record